RNAcentral lists this ribosomal RNA (534 nucleotides) under uncultured bacterium. RNAcentral describes it as "bacterial SSU rRNA". It matches the Rfam family "Bacterial small subunit ribosomal RNA", at positions 95 to 630 of the family's 1533-position model. The record is from RNAcentral.
ACGGCGCACGGGUGCGUAACACGUGGGCAACCUGCCCUUCAAUGGGGGAUACCCCCGCGAAAGCGGGACUAAUACCGCAUGAUAUUCCAGAGACUUCGGUCUUUGGACUCAAAGGCCGCAAGGUCGUUGAAGGAGGGGCCCGCGCCCGAUUAGCUUGUUGGCGAGGUAACGGCUCACCAAAGCUUUGAUCGGUAGCCGGUCUGAGAGGAUGGCCGGCCACACUGGAACUGAGACACGGUCCAGACUCCUACGGGAGGCAGCAGUGGGGAAUCUUGCGCAAUGGGCGAAAGACUGACGCAGCGACGCCGCGUGGGGGAUGAAGCUUCUCGGAGUGUAAACCCCUUUCGACCCGGACGAAACGCCCGCAAGGGCUUGACGGUACGGGUAUAAGAAGCCCCGGCUAACUACGUGCCAGCAGCCGCGGUAAGACGUAGGGGGCCAGCGUUGCUCGGAAUUACUGGGCGUAAAGGGUUCGUAGGCGGUGCGGCAAGUCGGAAGUGAAAUCUCUGGGCUUAACCCAGAGGCUGCUCCCGA